GAAAUGCGAUAAGUAAUGUGAAUUGCAGAAUUCAGUGAAUCAUCGAAUCUUUGAACGCAGCUUGCGCUCCUUGGUAUUCCUUGGAGCAUGCCUGUUUGAGUAUCAUGAAAUCUUCAAAGUUAAUCUUUUGUUAACUCAAUUGGUUUCUACUUUGGUAUUGGAGGUCUUUGCAGCUUCACACCUGCUCCUCUUUGUUCAUUAGCUGGAUCUCAGUGUUAUGCUUGGUUCCACUCGGCGUGAUAAGUUAUCUAUCGCUGAGGACACUGUAAAAGGUGGCCAAGGUAAAUGCAGAUGAACCGCUUCUAAUAGUCCAUUGACUUGGACAAUACUUUUAUGAUCUGAUCUCAAAUCAGGUAGGACUACCCGCUGAACUUAAGC
This 378-nucleotide unclassified non-coding RNA is filed under the name plant metagenome. RNAcentral describes it as "partial contains 5.8S ribosomal RNA, internal transcribed spacer 2, and large subunit ribosomal RNA". The stretch from base 1 to 105 matches the Rfam family "5.8S ribosomal RNA", at positions 50 to 154 of the family's 154-position model. The record is from RNAcentral.